GGGGGCGUAUUGGAUUCGACAGGGAUAGAUUGAGCUUAAAUUGCAAGCCGAGUUCCAGAGACUCGUAAAAAGCUGGACAUAAAAAUAAACGCAGAUAAUAGCGAACUAGCUUUAGCUGCCUAAUAAGAGCGGCUAACGUCCUUUAAGAUAUGCCUGUGAUUUUAAAAGGGCGCAAUUAACAGGAUACUUUUUCGGGAGAAGACUGCUUUUCCGGAAAGGGAAAUAAAUGCAGUCUAGCAAAGGCAGAUAUUGUUCAUAUGAUUUGCCGGAGCGAAACUUAGAUAUGAAAUAAGCUUGUAGAUGUUUAAGUGGCGAUAUCUUUGGACGCGGGUUCAAUUCCCGCCGCCUCCACCA
RNAcentral lists this transfer-messenger RNA (354 nucleotides) under Actinomycetota (actinobacteria). RNAcentral describes it as "Humimicrobium sp012837825 Standard tmRNA". It matches the Rfam family "transfer-messenger RNA". Rfam says of the family: Bacterial tmRNA, also known as 10Sa RNA or SsrA, is named for its dual tRNA and mRNA-like properties. Its role is to liberate the mRNA from a stalled ribosome. To accomplish this part of the tmRNA is used as a reading frame that ends in a translation stop signal. Lineage: Bacteria; Bacillati. The record is from RNAcentral. RNAcentral also lists the same sequence under 1 other name.